UCGGGAUAGGUCAGCC
This 16-nucleotide transfer RNA is filed under the name Erodium cicutarium (redstem stork's bill). Its description in RNAcentral is "partial transfer RNA-Phe". Lineage: Eukaryota; Viridiplantae; Streptophyta; Magnoliopsida; Geraniales; Geraniaceae. The record is from RNAcentral.